GAUUAAGUUAUUAAGGGCGCACGGUGGAUGCCUUGGCACUAGAAGCCGAUGAAGGACGUUACUAACGACGAUAUGCUUUGGGGAGCUGUAAGUAAGCUUUGAUCCAGAGAUUUCCGAAUGGGGAAACCCAGCAUGAGUUAUGUCAUGUUAUCGAUAUGUGAAUACAUAGCAUAUCAGAAGGCACACCCGGAGAACUGAAACAUCUUAGUACCCGGAGGAAGAGAAAGAAAAUUCGAUUCCCUUAGUAGCGGCGAGCGAAACGGGAAGAGCCCAAACCAACAAGCUUGCUUGUUGGGGUUGUAGGACACUCUAUACGGAGUUACAAAGGACGACAUUAGACGAAUCAUCUGGAAAGAUGAAUCAAAGAAGGUAAUAAUCCUGUAGUCGAAAAUGUUGUCUCUCUUGAGUGGAUCCUGAGUACGACGGAGCACGUGAAAUUCCGUCGGAAUCUGGGAGGACCAUCUCCUAAGGCUAAAUACUCUCUAGUGACCGAUAGUGAACCAGUACCGUGAGGGAAAGGUGAAAAGCACCCCGGAAGGGGAGUGAAAUAGAACCUGAAACCGUGUGCUUACAAGUAGUCAGAGCCCGUUAAUGGGUGAUGGCGUGCCUUUUGUAGAAUGAACCGGCGAGUUACGAUUUGAUGCAAGGUUAAGCAGUAAAUGUGGAGCCGUAGCGAAAGCGAGUCUGAAUAGGGCGUUUAGUAUUUGGUCGUAGACCCGAAACCAGGUGAUCUACCCUUGGUCAGGUUGAAGUUCAGGUAACACUGAAUGGAGGACCGAACCGACUUACGUUGAAAAGUGAGCGGAUGAACUGAGGGUAGCGGAGAAAUUCCAAUCGAACCUGGAGAUAGCUGGUUCUCUCCGAAAUAGCUUUAGGGCUAGCCUCAAGUGAUGAUUAUUGGAGGUAGAGCACUGUUUGGACGAGGGGCCCUCUCGGGUUACCGAAUUCAGACAAACUCCGAAUGCCAAUUAAUUUAACUUGGGAGUCAGAACAUGGGUGAUAAGGUCCAUGUUCGAAAGGGAAACAGCCCAGACCACCAGCUAAGGUCCCAAAAUAUAUGUUAAGUGGAAAAGGAUGUGGCGUUGCCCAGACAACUAGGAUGUUGGCUUAGAAGCAGCCAUCAUUUAAAGAGUGCGUAAUAGCUCACUAGUCGAGUGACACUGCGCCGAAAAUGUACCGGGGCUAAACAUAUUACCGAAGCUGUGGAUUGUCCUUUGGACAAUGGUAGGAGAGCGUUCUAAGGGCGUUGAAGCAUGAUCGUAAGGACAUGUGGAGCGCUUAGAAGUGAGAAUGCCGGUGUGAGUAGCGAAAGACGGGUGAGAAUCCCGUCCACCGAUUGACUAAGGUUUCCAGAGGAAGGCUCGUCCGCUCUGGGUUAGUCGGGUCCUAAGCUGAGGCCGACAGGCGUAGGCGAUGGAUAACAGGUUGAUAUUCCUGUACCACCUAUAAUCGUUUUAAUCGAUGGGGGGACGCAGUAGGAUAGGCGAAGCGUGCGAUUGGAUUGCACGUCUAAGCAGUAAGGCUGAGUAUUAGGCAAAUCCGGUACUCGUUAAGGCUGAGCUGUGAUGGGGAGAAGACAUUGUGUCUUCGAGUCGUUGAUUUCACACUGCCGAGAAAAGCCUCUAGAUAGAAAAUAGGUGCCCGUACCGCAAACCGACACAGGUAGUCAAGAUGAGAAUUCUAAGGUGAGCGAGCGAACUCUCGUUAAGGAACUCGGCAAAAUGACCCCGUAACUUCGGGAGAAGGGGUGCUCUUUAGGGUUAACGCCCAGAAGAGCCGCAGUGAAUAGGCCCAAGCGACUGUUUAUCAAAAACACAGGUCUCUGCUAAACCGUAAGGUGAUGUAUAGGGGCUGACGCCUGCCCGGUGCUGGAAGGUUAAGAGGAGUGGUUAGCUUCUGCGAAGCUACGAAUCGAAGCCCCAGUAAACGGCGGCCGUAACUAUAACGGUCCUAAGGUAGCGAAAUUCCUUGUCGGGUAAGUUCCGACCCGCACGAAAGGCGUAACGAUUUGGGCACUGUCUCAACGAGAGACUCGGUGAAAUCAUAGUACCUGUGAAGAUGCAGGUUACCCGCGACAGGACGGAAAGACCCCGUGGAGCUUUACUGUAGCCUGAUAUUGAAAUUCGGCACAGCUUGUACAGGAUAGGUAGGAGCCUUUGAAACGUGAGCGCUAGCUUACGUGGAGGCGCUGGUGGGAUACUACCCUAGCUGUGUUGGCUUUCUAACCCGCACCACUUAUCGUGGUGGGAGACAGUGUCAGGCGGGCAGUUUGACUGGGGCGGUCGCCUCCUAAAAGGUAACGGAGGCGCUCAAAGGUUCCCUCAGAAUGGUUGGAAAUCAUUCAUAGAGUGUAAAGGCAUAAGGGAGCUUGACUGCGAGACCUACAAGUCGAGCAGGGUCGAAAGACGGACUUAGUGAUCCGGUGGUUCCGCAUGGAAGGGCCAUCGCUCAACGGAUAAAAGCUACCCCGGGGAUAACAGGCUUAUCUCCCCCAAGAGUUCACAUCGACGGGGAGGUUUGGCACCUCGAUGUCGGCUCAUCGCAUCCUGGGGCUGUAGUCGGUCCCAAGGGUUGGGCUGUUCGCCCAUUAAAGCGGUACGCGAGCUGGGUUCAGAACGUCGUGAGACAGUUCGGUCCCUAUCCGUCGUGGGCGUAGGAAAUUUGAGAGGAGCUGUCCUUAGUACGAGAGGACCGGGAUGGACAUACCUCUGGUGUACCAGUUGUCGUGCCAACGGCAUAGCUGGGUAGCUAUGUGUGGACGGGAUAAGUGCUGAAAGCAUCUAAGCAUGAAGCCCCCCUCAAGAUGAGAUUUCCCAACUUCGGUUAUAAGAUCCCUCAAAGAUGAUGAGGUUAAUAGGUUCGAGGUGGAAGCAUGGUGACAUGUGGAGCUGACGAAUACUAAUCGAUCGAAGACUUAAUCAA
RNAcentral lists this ribosomal RNA (2922 nucleotides) under Staphylococcus sp. MZ9. Its description in RNAcentral is "23S ribosomal RNA". It matches the Rfam family "Bacterial large subunit ribosomal RNA". The record is from RNAcentral. Lineage: Bacteria; Bacillati; Bacillota; Bacilli; Caryophanales; Staphylococcaceae.